RNAcentral lists this small RNA (133 nucleotides) under Klebsiella pneumoniae. RNAcentral's name for it is "RtT sRNA". It matches the Rfam family "RtT RNA". From Rfam's summary of the family: This family represents a bacterial cis-regulatory element known as RtT RNA. Lineage: Bacteria; Pseudomonadati; Pseudomonadota; Gammaproteobacteria; Enterobacterales; Enterobacteriaceae. The record is from RNAcentral.
UAUUCUGCCCCACGGGGAAGGAUGAGAAGCUUCGACUAAGGUUCGACUCGAGCGAAGCGAGAGAACGUUGCCGCAGGCAACGGCCCGAAGGGCGAGGAGCGAUAGCGACGAGUUAUCCUCUCCCCCACCACCA